GAUGAACGCUGGCGGCGUGCCUAAUACAUGCAAGUCGAGCGAACAGAUGAGGAGCUUGCUCCUCUGACGUUAGCGGCGGACGGGUGAGUAACACGUGGAUAACCUACCUAUAAGACUGGGAUAACUUCGGGAAACCGGUGCUAAUACCGGAUAAUAUAUUCAACCGCAUGGUUCAAUAGUGAAAGACGGUUUUGCUGUCACCUAUAGAUGGAUCCGCGUCGCAUUAGCUAGUUGGUAAGGUAACGGCUUACCAAGGCAACGAUGCGUAGCCGACCUGAGAGGGUGAUCGGCCACACUGGAACUGAGACACGGUCCAGACUCCUACGGGAGGCAGCAGUAGGGAAUCUUGCGCAAUGGGCGAAAUCCUGACGGAGCAACGCCGCGUGGGUGAUGAAGGUCUUCGGAUCGUAAAACUCUGUUAUUAGGGAAGAACAAAUGUGUAAGUAACUAUGCACGUCUUGACGGUACCUAAACAGAAAGCAACGGCUAACUACGUG
Molecule: ribosomal RNA, 497 nt
Filed under: uncultured bacterium
Lineage: Bacteria
Description: partial 16S ribosomal RNA
Rfam family: Bacterial small subunit ribosomal RNA
Source: RNAcentral